UACGUAGGGCGCAAGCGUUGUCCGGAAUUAUUGGGCGUAAAGAGCUCGUAGGCGGCUUGUUGCGUCGGUUGUGAAAGCCCGGGGCUUAACCCCGGGUCUGCAGUCGAUACGGGCAGGCUAGAGUGUGGUAGGGGAGAUCGGAAUUCCUGGUGUAGCGGUGAAAUGCGCAGAUAUCGGGAGGAACACCAGUAGCGAAGGCGGUUCUCUGGGCCGGUACUGACGCUGAGGAGCGAAAGCGUGGGGAGCAAACAGG
RNAcentral lists this ribosomal RNA (253 nucleotides) under uncultured bacterium. RNAcentral's name for it is "partial 16S ribosomal RNA". It matches the Rfam family "Bacterial small subunit ribosomal RNA", at positions 524 to 776 of the family's 1533-position model. The record is from RNAcentral.